AGUGGCGGACGGGUGAGUAACGCGUGAGAAUCUGCCUUGGGGUCGGGGACAACCACUGGAAACGGUGGCUAAUACCGGAUAAGCCGAUUGGUGAAAGAUUUAUUGCCCGAAGAGGAGCUCGCGUCUAAUUAGCUAGUUGGUGAGGUAAGAGCUCACCAAGGCAGCGAUCAGUAGCUGGUCUGAGAGGACGAUCAGCCACACUGGGACUGAGACACGGCCCAGACUCCUACGGGAGGCAGCAGUGGGGAAUUUUCCGCAAUGGGCGAAAGCCUGACGGAGCAAGACCGCGUGAGGGAGGAAGGCUCUUGGGUUGUAAACCUCUUUUCUCAGGGAAGAAGCUCUGACGGUACCUGAGGAAUCAGCCUCGGCUAACUCCGUGCCAGCAGCCGCGGUAAUACGGAGGAGGCAAGCGUUAUCCGGAAUUAUUGGGCGUAAAGCGUCCGCAGGUGGCGAUUCAAGUCUGCUGUCAAAGCACGGGGCUUAACUCCGUAAAGGCAGUGGAAACUGAAUAGCUAGAGUGCCGUAGGGGUAGAGGGAAUUCCCGGUGUAGCGGUGAAAUGCGUAGAGAUCGGGAAGAACAUCGGUGGCGAAAGCGCUCUACUGGACGGCAACUGACACUCAGGGACGAAAGCUAGGGGAGCGAAUGGGAUUAGAUACCCC
RNAcentral lists this ribosomal RNA (660 nucleotides) under uncultured bacterium. RNAcentral's name for it is "bacterial SSU rRNA". It matches the Rfam family "Bacterial small subunit ribosomal RNA", at positions 94 to 788 of the family's 1533-position model. The record is from RNAcentral.